RNAcentral lists this ribosomal RNA (452 nucleotides) under Phocaeicola dorei. RNAcentral describes it as "bacterial SSU rRNA". It matches the Rfam family "Bacterial small subunit ribosomal RNA", at positions 67 to 511 of the family's 1533-position model. Lineage: Bacteria; Pseudomonadati; Bacteroidota; Bacteroidia; Bacteroidales; Bacteroidaceae. The record is from RNAcentral.
CAGCAUGGUCUUAGCUUGCUAAGGCCGAUGGCGACCGGCGCACGGGUGAGUAACACGUAUCCAACCUGCCGUCUACUCUUGGACAGCCUUCUGAAAGGAAGAUUAAUACAAGAUGGCAUCAUGAGUCCGCAUGUUCACAUGAUUAAAGGUAUUCCGGUAGACGAUGGGGAUGCGUUCCAUUAGAUAGUANGCGGGGUAACGGCCCACCUAGUCUUCGAUGGAUAGGGGUUCUGAGAGGAAGGUCCCCCACAUUGGAACUGAGACACGGUCCAAACUCCUACGGGAGGCAGCAGUGAGGAAUAUUGGUCAAUGGGCGAGAGCCUGAACCAGCCUAGUAGCGUGAAGGAUGACUGCCCUAUGGGUUGUAAACUUCUUUUAUAAANGAAUAAAGUCGGGUAUGGAUACNCGUUUGCAUGUACUUUAUGANUAACGAUCNNCUAACUCCGUGCCAG